ACUACCGGAAAAAGAAGGUGAAGGCGAAGAAGAAAGCCACUCGAGGGCGGCAGAAGCCAUUUUGUAUCAAGCAUUGUUGGGAGGGGAAAAAAAGGGAGAACGUCGUGUUCUAAAAGAAUCGUUUAAACCUUUUUGAAUAUAUAAUUCCGAACCAAAAGGUGAGUUCGGCGGCGUGCUGUGUGAUAACGCUGUUUUUUUUCGAAAGAAGGCGAGCCUCGUCAUCAUCAUGAGUUACGGAAGGCCUCCGCCCGACGUCGACGGCAUGACUUCUCUUAAAGUGGACAACCUGACGUAUCGAACCACACCGGAGACCCUUCGGCACGUAUUCGAGAAAUAUGGUCGCGUCGGGGACGUGUACAUCCCGCGAGACCGCUAUUCCAAGGACAGCCGCGGUUUCGCAUUCGUCCGCUUCCACGACAAGCGCGACGCAGAGGACGCCAUGGAUGCGAUGGACGGCGCCCUCCUAGACGGACGCGAGCUGCGUGUGCAGAUGGCCCGUUAUGGACGACCACCGGAUUCGCAUUACGGAGGUGGCGGGCGUCGAGGAAGCGGCGGCGGAGGAGGGGGGCCGCCCAGGAGGUAUGGAGGGUCGAGUCGCCGAAGCAGAAGCCCUCGACCCCGGAGACGCAGCCGCUCUCGCAGCAGGUCCCGCUCUCGCUCCCGAAGCAGAUCCCGUUAUAGCCGCUCCCGCUCCAGGUCCUACUCCAGAUCCAAGUCCCGCUCCCCCAGGAACAAGAAGACCAACGCCAAGUCCAGGUCCCGCUCUCGCUCUAGGUCUGCCAGCCGUUCUGCCUCCCCCCCGAAAAGAGGCUCUGGGUCCAGAUCUAACAGCCCACCCAAGUCUCCCGCCAGGAACGGAGGAGACUCUCCCUAGUUUUCAGCAACGAGUUGAGGCGAAACAGAUGAUGUGGUUCCCGGAUAAGAAGUUGCUUGAUCCUGAUGGUUGUCCUCAUGACUUCUGCGUCUUUUUUUUUUUUUUUUUUGGCUUCUUCUUUUUGAAUUUCAAGUUCACCCCUUCGCUGUAGCGAUUGGGCCAAUGUUGCCAGGAACGUUUACUGUUCUGAGGUUUCUAGCAGUGUGUCCACUUCCUGUCCUUUCAGGACUCCGAAGCAUUCAGUUAGUGUGAUUUAAUACAUUAAAAGCUUAAUAUGUUAUCGUCGGCUGUUAACGUCAGGAGCUUUUUUUAUUUUCAAUAUUCUGUCUUUUGUGCACUAGGCGCAGUUGUGUAGCAGUUGUUGGUAAGCCGCUAAGGUGUUGCUGUGUGUUGCUGGUGUUGCUGUGCCCACAACGCUGCAGUAUUCUUCCCUCAGCGGUUUUUUACUUGCAGCAACUGGAGCUGUGCAGCGGCAACCUGGAAGCGCUGCAGAGCCUUUUUGGUCAACUUAAACUGUUGUAUUUCACACAAGCUUAAACAUCCAUCACUUAAAACGUAAUGCGCUAUUUUAGAAAUGAAAAUGAGCACUCGAGUAUAGAAACGUGUCUACAAUAUCAACAAAAGGUUGGAGAUAGGCCAUUUGGGUGACAUUUUGGGAUACACCUAAAAUACACUAACCUUUACAGAUGAACUUAAUUUGACUAAGGUUUGAGCCCCACACUGCACUUACACCAUGCUAUCACGAGAUGAGCAAUAGUUUUCAAUGUUUUUGUGUAGUAAUUUGAUGGCAGACUCAGCCAUCCAUCCAUUUUCUACACCACUUAACCUGUUGAGGGAUGCUGGUGCCUUUUCCAGUUGACUUUUGGAAAAAGUUACACCCUGUAUUGGUCACCAGUCAAUCAGAAUCGGGUUUAAUGGCCAAGUGUGUAAAAAAAAAAAAAAAAAAUUCAUUUUUUUCUCCGCCGGUCGGUGCUGCCCUGGUACGACAUUCAGGAUAAAUGAACGAGGAACAUUUCUGUUUACGGGAACUGUUCCUUAUGAGAUGUUCAAGAUGUAAAAUAUAUAUACAUCUUGUAUAGAAACAUAGAGUGAUAACCAAUCUUAUUCUGACCAUCGCUGAGUGGGGCCACUACACUAGGCCUUUGGACCUGACCUAAACAAUAGUCUGCAUUUACAACCUAACUUGUAAUGCUGUAUAUGAUCUAUGAAAUGUCAUUCUCCCCAGGCAACUGCUAUAGACAAUUUAAUGGUUAGAAAUGAUGGGCAGAAAAGUGGACUAUUGCUCACAAAUGACGCCUCAGGUUGUCCAUCCAGCUGUAUCCAAAAAGGUAGUUGUCCUGCCCAAAUUCCCUAAAAUAAAAGUGCUGUAACUAGAGCCAUCAUAAAUAGUUCAGAGAAGACUGCAAGAUGUAUUCGCAACUUCUAAAAUCGAGACACUGGGAAGUAGACAUCCAUUGUCCGUUGGGUUUGUGGAAGUUAUUCUUAAAGGCAUAGUAUGUCUCAAGAAUUUGGAUGGGUAGUUAUUUACCCAAAUCAUGGAUACCCUGCAAGUAGCUCUUACUAGAUGCCAUUGUCAGAAUUAAAAGCACACCCGUGCCAUUAAUCUAAAGGCACGGGUGUGCUUUUGUCCUUUAAUGACCGUGUUAACUUUGAAUAGCGGGUUUGUUUUAUGGACUUCCGUGCUGACAUUUAAAUUAUGACUGGUGUUUCUUGUCCCAAGCAUUUAGCGUCAAUAUUUUUGACUAGAAAUUCAUAUCGCACUCAAAACUUUGGUGAUAGAGAAGGCUAAAAUCACCCCAACAGCCAUUGCUGUUUAUUCCGCAAAUGCGCUGACCUGGUCGAAAAGUUUUUUGAUUUUUUUUUUUUUUUUUGGGGGGGGGGGAGUAUCACUUAGGCUCCCCCCUUCCCGAUUUACAAAAUGUUUUCAAACUUAAUACGAACCACAUUAGUAAAAAAAAUUGAAUCCGAUGUUAGAGGAUGCAGUAAAACUAGAGACAUAAGCGAAUUUGUCACAAGUUGAAACCCAAAUAUACUAUAUAACUCCAUAAGGUUUAAAACAACAGCCGUAAAACCCACCCUCAUUCUAGAUGAGGGAAUAUUGUGAAACACUUACGAGACAAGUACAGAACUAAGUGACGCUUUGACUUCUCGGUUCGUAGCGAGCAAAAGAAGAUUGACGCACUUUCGUGGCAAACAGUUCAAUGAAAAAUAGCAGGUCUACAUCUUUCCAUGAAACAAUAUAAAGGGUAAAGUUCGUUGAAACUUUUAAUUUGCUGGUAAUCAACAACUUGCCCCAGAAGUUUUUGAUUACACCAAUGUACUAUAUAAA
RNA transcript from Syngnathoides biaculeatus (alligator pipefish), 3203 nucleotides. It is a transcript of the gene named serine/arginine-rich splicing factor 2-like, with no coding region annotated. The transcript has 4 exons. Lineage: Eukaryota; Metazoa; Chordata; Actinopteri; Syngnathiformes; Syngnathidae. The record is from RefSeq and is a predicted model, not a curated record.